Molecule: transfer RNA, 63 nt
Filed under: Watersipora subtorquata
Lineage: Eukaryota; Metazoa; Bryozoa; Gymnolaemata; Cheilostomatida; Watersiporidae
Description: tRNA-Pro
Source: RNAcentral
CAGAAAAUAGUUUAACUAAAACACUAUCUUUGGAAGAUAAAAAUCAACCAAGUUGUUUUCUGG